CUGAGACCUAGGAAGCAGAAAGGCUAAAAAGCGGCUCCCCUGCCUUCCGGCAUGAGGCUCUCUCCCCCUCUGCUCUCUGCUCCUACGCAGCACCUUGCUGUGGGUUUGGUUAACAGAAGCGUGUGUGAUUUCAGCACGUGCCACAGAUCCAGCAAGUGUUGCUGGGGCGGAUCUUGUAAUGGCUGCCCUUACAUAACAUUGGUGUCACUGAAUUGGAUCGAGAGGCCUGAGGCUCCUGUGUUACCUUCUGAGAAAAAUCCACAUCCACCACUGCCACGGAAAUGGGACAGAGACCUAGAUUUUGACUCUCUUUUUUGGAAAGGAAAACAGAUCAAGACGCACAAAGGUCCAAGUGGCCUCUAUUGUCCAGGAACACAAGGCCAGGUGUUGGGGACAGGAGUUGGACCAGGAGGAGUGGCUGGAGCGGAAGAGAGGAGGAGGACUUGGAGCUGGGCGGCCCAGAGGGCAGAAUCUGCACUGCCACAGACGCAGUUCCCAGGAGUCUGAGCCCCGUGAAGUCCAGCAGUGAGUUUAGGAUAAAUAAUCUGCCCACAGGCAGAGGCAGGAGGAUGAGCAGAUUCUAGAGGCCUUCCCCAAGGGACGACUCUCCUGGGGGACUGUCUGGAGGACCAGCCGGGGAGCCAGCCGAACUUCCAGACAUUGUGGGGAACCAUCUUAUUGAUUCUGCCCAAAGCAGGGAGUAAGCAGUGCAGGCUGUAAAGAGGUGACUCUGCAGUUGGCUCAUUUUAAGAAGCAAAUCUGAUUAAAGCUUAUGUGACUCACAGAAGCACCGCAUAAGCACCAUGGUAGCACGUAAGUUAGCAUGAGCCUCCCGCUAAUGCCACAGCAGAGACCAGAGUAAUGGCCCAUGAAGCUCUGGGGCUCAAGAUGAGAUAACAUAGGAGGAGAGGCUGGAGUAGCUUCCACCCAAAGUCCACUCCCACGACUAAAACCUUCUAACCUACAAGGACAAGGUUCUAAUUGCAACGCUGUAUUUUGUCUGUCCUGUUCCUAAUUUGAGAAUGCUUUGUCUUUUCCUUUACAAGCUUUGCCUGCAUAGUAUCCAUAGCAACUGUGGAGCUGCACAUCCUCAUGCAUAGCUCCCCUUUAC
This 1111-nucleotide long non-coding RNA is filed under the name Heterocephalus glaber (naked mole-rat). Its description in RNAcentral is "lncRNA (ENSHGLG00000048852.1)". The record is from RNAcentral. Lineage: Eukaryota; Metazoa; Chordata; Mammalia; Rodentia; Bathyergidae.